AUAAGCCCCCGUUUGGUUCGGGGUUAAGAAAAAGUAGCUAUUCCAGGGAUAGGGUUAAGUUCAGGAUUAAAAUGGUGUUAAAAUUUUUUUGUGUUUGGUUGGAGGUUGGAGUUAGUCUAGGAUAGUGAAAAAAAGUGUUUGGUUGGAGUAGGUGGGAUAAGAAGAUAAUGAUUGAUAAAGAAGAAAAAGGUGAGAACUCGGGAUGCGUGCGGGGUUAAAGUUGGGAGGGGGAGUGGGGUUAAUGAUUGAUAAAGAAAAAAAAGGUGAGGGCUUGGGAUGCGUGCGGGGUUAAAGUUGGGAGGGGGAGUGGGGUUAGUAAACCCCACUAACCCGGUUUAGGAUGGGGUUACCAAAAGAGUGGUGUUUGGGUAUAAAU
RNAcentral lists this long non-coding RNA (376 nucleotides) under Ananas comosus (pineapple). Its description in RNAcentral is "long non-coding RNA (ACOM_LNC021156)". Lineage: Eukaryota; Viridiplantae; Streptophyta; Magnoliopsida; Poales; Bromeliaceae. The record is from RNAcentral.